This 509-nucleotide small RNA is filed under the name Pongo abelii (Sumatran orangutan). Its description in RNAcentral is "sense intronic". Lineage: Eukaryota; Metazoa; Chordata; Mammalia; Primates; Hominidae. The record is from RNAcentral.
UUCAAACGCUGGAUAAUUGCUUGACAUUUUAUUGGGAGGCAUUGUCAAUUAUUAGCUAAGAUUGUUUCGUCUUCUGAAGAAUUGGCCCUCUAUAAAAAAAUAGUUGUGGAAGAUGGGCUUUUAACAGAAAAUGUAAAGUCUGUUCAGUUCAUACUAAUGCAUGGAAUUAUUUAAUGUAUAGGCAAUAAUGGCUAAAAACUGACAUGACCAUCAGCUUUAUUUUAGGAUGUUUUACAAACCCAUCACAAAGCAACAACUAAUUUUUUGUUCAUGUAUAUUAAUUCAUUUGACCUUUACCUGGACUAAUAUCAUCUGAAACCUUCUUUUCUUUAAAACAUUUUAUGAGAUGUAUACACUUAUUUUUACUUUAUUAUGUAAGCAAAGCAAUUUUUUAUUUUCCUUCCCCCAAAUUAUGUGUUCCUUUAAAGAUUUGACAUUUUGAUGCAGCAAAUGUUAAGAAAGGGUGUGAGAUAAAUGUCUACAAAACAAAUGUUUCAUACAGAACUACG